UUACUUUGAAUUGGUCUUUCAGCCAAAUUUACUAAUACUAAGUAAAGAUUACUUAGUAUUAGUAAAUUUGGCUGAAAGACCAAUUCAGGUCU
This is a non-coding RNA of Pelobates cultripes (western spadefoot toad), 92 nucleotides long. Lineage: Eukaryota; Metazoa; Chordata; Amphibia; Anura; Pelobatidae. The record is from the annotation of a GenBank genome assembly.